UACGGGGGGGGCAAGCGUUGUUCGGAAUUACUGGGCGUAAAGGGCUCGUAGGUGGCCAACUAAGUCAGACGUGAAAUCCCUCGGCUUAACCGGGGAACUGCGUCUGAUACUGGAUGGCUUGAGUUUGGGAGAGGGAUGCGGAAUUCCAGGUGUAGCGGUGAAAUGCGUAGAUAUCUGGAGGAACACCGGUGGCGAAGGCGGUUCUCUGGGAAUGUUCUGACGCUGAGGAGCGAAAGUGUGGGGAGCGAACAGG
This 253-nucleotide ribosomal RNA is filed under the name uncultured bacterium. Its description in RNAcentral is "partial 16S ribosomal RNA". It matches the Rfam family "Bacterial small subunit ribosomal RNA", at positions 524 to 776 of the family's 1533-position model. The record is from RNAcentral.